Non-coding RNA from Podarcis lilfordi (Lilford's wall lizard), 70 nucleotides. The record is from the annotation of a GenBank genome assembly. Lineage: Eukaryota; Metazoa; Chordata; Lepidosauria; Squamata; Lacertidae.
GGAUAGCUCAGUUGGUUAGAGCGCGGUGCUGAUAAUGCCAAGGUUGCAUGUUCUAACCCCGUUAGGGACA